This 851-nucleotide long non-coding RNA is filed under the name Volvox carteri. RNAcentral's name for it is "long non-coding RNA (VCAR_LNC004138)". Lineage: Eukaryota; Viridiplantae; Chlorophyta; Chlorophyceae; Chlamydomonadales; Volvocaceae. The record is from RNAcentral.
ACAUUAGGUAACAAAAGAAAGGUCCAAUAAAUUUAUAACAAUGUAGCCGUUUAACUUAACUUAGUGGCUACGUUGUAAACUACAAGCUAAGGGCGGAGCAGGUGCUUGCACCGUAUGUAGUGCGGAACACAUUGUUGUAACUUAACUAUUGUUGUAACUUAACUCCGAUAGUUUCCCUAGGAAACUCGCAGCCCACUUCUAAACGCCUGUGUUAUAGCUUAACAACAACGUAGUAGUAGCCCUUUAUUUUUUUUGCUAAGUAACUUAAUAACGCGUGAGCUUGGUUACCUUGUAACAUAGGGUCUUUGCUAAUUUCAAUGAUGACAAUAAGGCUACGCCCCGGUACCUGCACCGUUGUUGUUUGUAACAUGGGUUUGCCCUGCACGCUCACGGUUGGUAUGACAAUUUUGGCCUUCCUUAACUACAUGGUGCUUUAUUUUUGCCUCCGGUCGUUGGGGGAGAACUACGUUGUAAUUUCCUACUAUAACGUAGUAUGUGGUCCGAUUUUUUUAGCUUUAAACGGAGGCUUACCAUGAGGGCUGAACGUAGCCCCUUAACCUUAAAAUGAAAAUAUGAACGUAGCUUCGGUCGAAGGCUUACUACGUUAGAGCUACUAAGGUUACUCCUUCGGAAAUGAAGUUUAAUUUUGUUAAACAAUAUAAAAAACAAUAUAAAAAAGAACUACGCGUACAUAACAGGUGCUUCGCAUGUUUAAAAUUAGCGACGAUGUUUGAGAGAUGCCUUUUUUUGACUUGGUACUGUGANAACGUCUAUAAGUAUAUAUUAAUUUAGAAAAUAAAAAUUCUAGUAAAUAAUAUAAACUUCUCUUAAUAUUUCUUUAUUUGUUUNNN